Molecule: ribosomal RNA, 433 nt
Filed under: uncultured bacterium
Lineage: Bacteria
Description: partial 16S ribosomal RNA
Rfam family: Bacterial small subunit ribosomal RNA
Source: RNAcentral
UGGGGAAUUUUGGACAAUGGGCGAAAGCCUGAUCCAGCAAUGCCGCGUGUGUGAAGAAGGCCUUCGGGUUGUAAAGCACUUUUGUCCGGAAAGAAAUCCUUGGCUCUAAUACAGUCGGGGGAUGACGGUACCGGAAGAAUAAGCACCGGCUAACUACGUGCCAGCAGCCGCGGUAAUACGUAGGGUGCAAGCGUUAAUCGGAAUUACUGGGCGUAAAGCGUGCGCAGGCGGUUUGCUAAGACCGAUGUGAAAUCCCCGGGCUAACCUGGGGAACUGCAUUGGUGACUGGCAGGCUAGAGUAUGGCAGAGGGGGGUAGAAUUCCACGUGUAGCAGUGAAAUGCGUAGAGAUGUGGAGGAAUACGAUGGCGAAGGCAGCCCCCUGGGCCAAUACUGACGCUCAUGCACGAAAGCGUGGGGAGCAAACAGGAUUAG